RNAcentral lists this non-coding RNA (148 nucleotides) under Pan troglodytes (chimpanzee). The record is from Rfam by way of RNAcentral. Lineage: Eukaryota; Metazoa; Chordata; Mammalia; Primates; Hominidae.
GCUGGGUGUGGUGGUGAGCGCCUGUAAUCCUAGCUACUUGGGAAGCUGAGGCAGGAGAAUUGCUUGAACCAGGGAGUCGGAGGUUGCAGUGAGCCAAGAUCAUGCCACUGCACUCCAGCCUGGGUGACAGAGCAAGACUCUGUCUCAA